Molecule: ribosomal RNA, 468 nt
Filed under: uncultured bacterium
Lineage: Bacteria
Description: partial 16S ribosomal RNA
Rfam family: Bacterial small subunit ribosomal RNA
Source: RNAcentral
GACGAACGCUGGCGGCGUGCUUAACACAUGCAAGUCGAACGGAAAGGCCCUGCUUUUGUGGGGUGCUCGAGUGGCGAACGGGUGAGUAACACGUGAGUAACCUGCCCUUGACUUUGGGAUAACUUCAGGAAACUGGGGCUAAUACCGGAUAGGAGCUCCUGCUGCAUGGUGGGGGUUGGAAAGUUUCGGCGGUUGGGGAUGGACUCGCGGCUUAUCAGCUUGUUGGUGGGGUAGUGGCUUACCAAGGCUUUGACGGGUAGCCGGCCUGAGAGGGUGACCGGACAGAGUGGGACUGAGAGACGGCCGAGACUACUACGGGAGGCAGCGGUGGGGAGUAUUGCGCAAUGGGCGGAAGCCUGAUGCAGCUACGCCGCGUGCGGGAUGACGGCCUUCGGGUUGUAAACCGCUUUCGCCUGUGACGAAGCGUGAGUGACGGUAAUGGGUAAAGAAGCACCGCCUAACUACGUG